CCCUUAGAUGCUCUGGGCCGCACGCGCGCUACACUGGUCGAUGCAACGAGUUUCUUUCCUUGGCCGACAGGCCUGGGCAAUCUUUGAACAUCGAUCGUGAUCGGGAUAGAUUCUUGUAAUUUUUGAUCUUAAACGAGGAAUUCCUAGUAAACGCAAGUCAUCAGCUUGCAUUGAUUACGUCCCUGCCCUUUGUACACACCGCCCGCCGCACCUACCGAUUGAAUGGUCCGGUGAAAUCUCCGGACUGGCGUGAGUCGGAGCAAUCUGACAAACACCGGAAAGUUGAUUAAACCUUACCAUUUAGAGGAAGGUGAANUCGUAACA
RNAcentral lists this ribosomal RNA (324 nucleotides) under uncultured eukaryote. RNAcentral's name for it is "partial 18S ribosomal RNA". It matches the Rfam family "Eukaryotic small subunit ribosomal RNA", at positions 1470 to 1796 of the family's 1831-position model. The record is from RNAcentral.